CAGCCGCCGCGGGAAUACGAAGGGGGCUAGCGUUGCUCGGAAUCACUGGGCGUAAAGGGUGCGUAGGCGGGUCUUUAAGUCAGGGGUGAAAUCCUGGAGCUCAACUCCAGAACUGCCUUUGAUACUGAAGAUCUUGAGUUCGGGAGAGGUGAGUGGAACUGCGAGUGUAGAGGUGAAGUUCGUAGAUAUUCGCAAGAACACCAGUGGCGAAGGCGGCUCACUGGCCCGAUACUGACGCUGAGGCACGAAAGCGUGGGGAGCAAACAGGAUUAGAUACCCGAGUAGUCCCUGUCUCUUAUAC
RNAcentral lists this ribosomal RNA (301 nucleotides) under uncultured bacterium. RNAcentral's name for it is "partial 16S ribosomal RNA". It matches the Rfam family "Bacterial small subunit ribosomal RNA", at positions 509 to 807 of the family's 1533-position model. The record is from RNAcentral.